UCUCUAGUCUUCUUUGCAAACUGCACUUGCAGGGUUUCUCUCUCUCUCUCUCUCUCUCUCUCUCUCUCUCUGCGUAUUAACCAUACAUAUACAACAUACACACACAAAUAUAUCUGAGCUAGCCCCACCUCUCUUUCAUUCUUAGCUAUAUAGCCAAACUCUACAAUAAGGUUUCUGCAGCUUCUUCUUUGCAAACUGCAAACUGCAUGUACGGGGUCUCACUCUCUCUCUCUCUCUCUCUCUCUCUCUCUCUCUCUCUCUCUCUCUCUCACACACACACACACACACACACAAAUAUCCGUACACACUAUAUAUACAACAAUUGAGACAUUUACAAAAUAUGGAAAGCUAGGGGAUCCUAUGAUUAAUCUGCACUAUAUAUAAGAUUUUCUUGAAUAUGCACUUAUAUAUGUAUAUAUAUUUACCUAGCUACUUAGCUCAUCUUUAUGGUGUAUUGUUACUUAUACAUUGCAUAUGCAUGAAACAGGUUCUUACUGAGAAGAUAUAUAUAUACCUUGAUAUAUAAUUAAUAAGAAAGAGAUAUUGA
RNAcentral lists this long non-coding RNA (547 nucleotides) under Prunus dulcis (almond). Its description in RNAcentral is "sRNA ncRNA". Lineage: Eukaryota; Viridiplantae; Streptophyta; Magnoliopsida; Rosales; Rosaceae. The record is from RNAcentral.